AGGGCGUUAAGUUGCAUAUAAUGGGCCCGAAACCGGGUGACCUACCCAUGGUCAGGUUGAAGUGGAAGUAAAAUUCCAUGGAGGACCGAACCGACCUCCGUUGAAAAGGCGGCGGAUGAACUGUGGGUAGCGGAGAAAUUCCAAUCGAACCCGGAGAUAGCUGGUUCUCCCCGAAAUAGUUUUAGGACUAGCCUCAAGUUAGAUACCUGGAGGUAAAGCACUGAAUAGCCUAGCGGCCGAGAGGUUAGCGAAGCUUAUCAAACUCAGAAUGCCAGAGUAUUGAUGCUUGGGAGUCAGACAGUGUCAGAUAAAUGUCAUUGUCAAAAGGGAAACAGCCCAGAUCUACAGCUAAGGUCCCAAAGUCAGGUUAAGUGGAAAACGAUGUGAAGAUACGCAGACAACCAGGAUGUUGGCUCAGAAGCAGCCACUCAUUCAAAGAGUGCGUAAUAGCUCACUGGUCGAGCGUCUUUGCGCGGAGAAUUUAACGGGGCUAAACCUGACACCGAAGCUUAGGCAAUCCAGUAAUGGAUUGGGUAGGGGAGCGUUGUAUACGCGGAGAAACAGUAGCGUAAGCGGCUGUGGAGUGUAUAGAAGUGAGAAUGCCGGAAUGAGUAGCGCGAAUGCAGUGAGAAUCUGCAUGGCCGAAAGCCUCAGGUUUUUGGAGGAAGGUUCGUCCGCUCCAAGUUAGUCGGGAGCUAAGGUGAGGCCGGAAGGCGUAGCCGAUGCACAGACGGUAGAGAUUCCGUCACCACCAAAAGAGUUAAGCACAGGGACACAUUUGAAGUCUCAGAGCCGGGUGUUGGUUCCGGUAGAGAUCGAGGGAAGUUAGUACCGAAGUCUGAGAUGGAAGAUGGCGAGAAAAGCUGUGUGUAUUUCUGAGGUGCCCGUACCGCAAACCGACACAGGUAGGUAGGAAGAAGAUUCUAAGGCCAACGGGAGAAGGGUUGUUAAGGAACUCGGCAAAUUGACCCCGUAACUUCGGGAGAAGGGGUGCUCCAGAGAUGGAGCCGCAGAGAAUCGGCCCAAGCAACUGUUUACCAAAAACACAGGUUUGUGCUAAAUCGAAAGAUGACGUAUACGAGCUGACGCCUGCCCGGUGCUGGAAGGUUAAGAGGAGAUGUGCAAGCAUUGAAUCGAAGCCCCAGUGAACGGCGGCCGUAACUAUAACGGUCCUAAGGUAGCGAAAUUCCUUGUCAGGUAAGUUCUGACCCGCAUGAAAGGCGUAAUGAUUUGGGCACUGUCUCAACAGCCCGCCCGGCGAAAUUGUAGUACCGGUGAAGAUGCCGGUUACCCGCGACAAGACGGAAAGACCCCAUGGAGCUUUACUGUAGCCUAAUAUUGGGUUUCGAUGUUGCAUGCACAGGAUAGAUGGGACACUGGGAAACAGGAGCUUUGGCUUCUGCGGAGUGGCCGUUGGGAUACCAUCCUUGCGAUAUUGGAAUUCUAACCUGCGGCUCUGAAUCGAGUCGGGGGACAUUGUUAGGUGGGCAGUUUGACUGGGGCGGUCGCCUCCUAAAAAGUAACGGAGGCGUUCAAAGGUUCGCUCAGCUUGAACGGAAAUCAAGCAAAAGAGUGCAAACGCAGAAGCGAGCCUAACUGCGAGACUGACGGGUCGAGCAGUAACGAAAGUUGGAGUUAGUGAUCCGGUGGUAUGUGAGUGGAAAUGCCAUCGCUCAACGGAUAAAAGUUACCCUGGGGAUAACAGGCUGAUCUCCCCCAAGAGUCCACAUCGACGGGGAGGUUUGGCACCUCGAUGUCGGCUCAUCGCAUCCUGGGGCUGUAUUCGGUCCCAAGGGUUUGGCUGUUCGCCAAUUAAAGCGGUACGCGAGCUGGGUUCAGAACGUCGUGAGACAGUUCGGUCCCUAU
RNAcentral lists this ribosomal RNA (1866 nucleotides) under human gut metagenome. RNAcentral describes it as "bacterial LSU rRNA". It matches the Rfam family "Bacterial large subunit ribosomal RNA", at positions 689 to 2641 of the family's 2925-position model. The record is from RNAcentral.